CUAGUGUUCCGGUUGUCACGCCAGUGGCAAUGCCGGGUAGCUAUGUUCGGUUGGGAUAACCGCUGAAAGCAUCUAAGCGGGAAACUCGCCUCAAGAUAAGGUCUCCCGGAGUGAAUGCUCCCUAAAGACCCGUGGUAGACCACCACGUUGAUAGGCUGGAGGUGUAAGUGCGGUAACGUAUUGAGCUGACCAGUACUAAUCGGUCGUGCGUCUUGACCCU
RNAcentral lists this non-coding RNA (220 nucleotides) under Candidatus Magnetovum chiemense. Its description in RNAcentral is "Candidatus Magnetoovum chiemensis Bacterial large subunit ribosomal RNA". It matches the Rfam family "Bacterial large subunit ribosomal RNA", at positions 2709 to 2925 of the family's 2925-position model. Lineage: Bacteria; Pseudomonadati; Nitrospirota; Nitrospiria; Nitrospirales; Nitrospiraceae. The record is from Rfam by way of RNAcentral.